Molecule: ribosomal RNA, 375 nt
Filed under: uncultured organism
Description: partial 16S ribosomal RNA
Rfam family: Bacterial small subunit ribosomal RNA
Source: RNAcentral
GUAGGGUGCAAGCGUUAAUCGGGAAUUACUGGGGCGUAAAGCGUGCGCAGGCGGUUUUGUAAGUCUGAUGUGAAAUCCCCCGGGGGCUCAACCUGGGGAAUUGCAUUGGAGACUGCAAGGCUAGAAUCUGGCAGAGGGGGGUAGAAUUCCACGUGUAGCAGUGAAAUGCGUAGAUAUGUGGAGGAACACCGAUGGCGAAGGCAGCCCCCUGGGUCAAGAUUGACGCUCAUGCACGAAAGCGUGGGGAGCAAACAGGAUUAGAUACCCUGGUAGUCCACGCCCUAAACGAUGUCUACUAGUUGUCGGGUCUUAAUUGACUUGGUAACGCAGCUAACGCGUGAAGUAGACCGCCUGGGGAGUACGGUCGCAAGAUUA